This 616-nucleotide ribosomal RNA is filed under the name uncultured bacterium. RNAcentral's name for it is "bacterial SSU rRNA". It matches the Rfam family "Bacterial small subunit ribosomal RNA", at positions 73 to 705 of the family's 1533-position model. The record is from RNAcentral.
GUUACCUUCGGGUAAUGAGGAUGGCGGACGGGUGAGUAACGCGUAAGGAACUUGCCUCUUGGACUGGGACAACUGUUGGAAACGACAGCUAAUACCGGAUAUUAUGAGAUUCUCGCAUGAGAAACUUAUGAAAGCUAUAUGCGCCAAGAGAGAGCCUUGCGUUCCAUUAGCUAGUUGGUGGGGUAACGGCCCACCAAGGCGACGAUGGAUAGCCGGCCUGAGAGGGUGAACGGCCACAAGGGGACUGAGACACGGCCCUUACUCCUACGGGAGGCAGCAGUGGGGAAUAUUGGACAAUGGGCCACAAGCCUGAUCCAGCAAUUCUGUGUGCACGAUGAAGGUCUUCGGAUUGUAAAGUGCUUUCAGUUGGGAAGAAGAAAGUGACGGUACCAACAGAAGAAGCGACGGCUAAAUACGUGCCAGCAGCCGCGGUAAUACGUAUGUCGCAAGCGUUAUCCGGAUUUAUUGGGCGUAAAGCGCGUCUAGGCGGAAAAAUAAGUCUGAUGUUAAAAUGCGGGGCUCAACUCCGUAUUGCGUUGGAAACUGUUUUUCUAGAGUACUGGAGAGGUGGGCGGAACUACAAGUGUAGAGGUGAAAUUCGUAGAUAUUUGUAGGA